GACGAACGCUGGCGGCGUGCUUAACACAUGCAAGUCGAACGGAAAGGUCCGGCUUAGGGGCGGUGCUCGGGGUGCGAACUGGUGAGUAACACGUGAGUUACCUACCCUUGACUGUGGGAGAUCUUCAGGAAACUGGGGCUAAUACCGGAAAGGAUCUCCUGCUGCUGGGUGGGGGUGGGAUGGUUUCGGCGGUUGGGGGUGGACUCGCGGCGUAUCAGCUUGUUGGUGGGGUAGUGGCUGAGCAAGGCUAGGACGGGUAGCCGGGCUGAGAGGAUGACCGGCCACAUUGCGAUUGAGCUACGGCACAGCCUACUAUGGGACGCAGCGGUGGGGAAUAGAGUACAAUGGGAGGAAGGCUGAUGUAGCCAAGCAGCGUGGGGGGUGACGUCAUUCGGGUUGUAUACCGCUUUUGUCUUUGACGAAGCGUGAGUGACGGUAAUGGGUAAAGAAGCACCGGCUAACUCCGUG
This 468-nucleotide ribosomal RNA is filed under the name uncultured bacterium. RNAcentral's name for it is "partial 16S ribosomal RNA". It matches the Rfam family "Bacterial small subunit ribosomal RNA", at positions 28 to 507 of the family's 1533-position model. The record is from RNAcentral.